UGGGGAAUUUUGGACAAUGGGGGCAACCCUGAUCCAGCAAUGCCGCGUGUGUGAAGAAGGCCUUCGGGUUGUAAAGCACUUUUGUCCGGAAAGAAAACGCCGUGGUUAAUACCCGUGGCGGAUGACGGUACCGGAAGAAUAAGCACCGGCUAACUACGCGCCAGCAGCCGCGGUAAUACGUAGGGUGCAAGCGUUAAUCGGAAUUACUGGGCGUAAAGCGUGCGCAGGCGGUCCGCUAAGACAGAUGUGAAAUCCCCGGGCUUAACCUGGGAACUGCAUUUGUGACUGGCGGGCUAGAGUAUGGCAGAGGGGGGUAGAAUUCCACGUGUAGCAGUGAAAUGCGUAGAGAUGUGGAGGAAUACCGAUGGCGAAGGCAGCCCCCUGGGCCAAUACUGACGCUCAUGCACGAAAGCGUGGGGAGCAAACAGGAUUAGAUACCCUGGUAGUCCACGCCCUAAACGAUGUCAACUAGUUGUCGGGUCUUCAUUGACUUGGUAACGUAGCUAACGCGUGAAGUUGACCGCCUGGGGAGUACGGUCGCAAGAUUAAAACU
Molecule: ribosomal RNA, 553 nt
Filed under: uncultured bacterium
Lineage: Bacteria
Description: partial 16S ribosomal RNA
Rfam family: Bacterial small subunit ribosomal RNA
Source: RNAcentral